UACAUAGGGUGCAAGCGUUGUCCGGAAUUAUUGGGCGUAAAGAGCUCGUAGGUCGUUUGCCGCGUCGAUUGUGAAAAUCUGAGGCUCAACCUCAGACCUGCAGUCGAUACGGGCAAACUAGAGUGUGGUAGGGGAGACUGGAAUUCCUGGUGUAGCGGUGGAAUGCGCAGAUAUCAGGAGGAACACCAAUGGCGAAGGCAGGUCUCUGGGCCAUAACUGACACUGAGGAGCGAAAGCGCGGGGAGCGAACAGGAUUAGAUACCCUGGUAGUCCGCGCCGUAAACGAUGGGCACUAGCUGUGAGAGCCUUCCACGGUUCUCGCGACGCAGCAAACGCAUUAAGUGCCCCGCCUGGGGAGUACGAUCGCAAGAUUAAAACUCAAAGGAAUUGACGGGGCCCCGCACAAGCAGCGGAGCAUGCGGCUUAAUUCGACGCAACGCGAAGAACCUUACCAAGGCUUGACAUAUAGCGAAAAGUGGCAGAGAUGUCAUGUCCGCAAGGGCGCUAUACAGGUGGUGCAUGGUUGUCGUCAGCUCGUGUCGUGAGAUGUUGGGUUAAGUCCCGCAACGAGCGCAACCCUCGUUCUGUGUUACCAGCAUUCAGUUGGGGACUCACAGGAGACUGCCGGGGUCAACUCGGAGGAAGGUGGGGAUGACGUCAAAUCAUCAUGCCCCUUAUGUCUUGGGCUGCACGCAUGCUACAAUGGCCGGUACAAAGUGCUGCGAAAUCGUAAGAUUUAGCGAAUCACACAAAGCCGGUCUCAGUUCGGAUUGAGGUCUGCAACUCGACCUCAUGAAGUCGGAGUUGCUAGUAAUCGUAGAUCAGCAACGCUACGGUGAAUACGUUCCCGGGGCU
RNAcentral lists this ribosomal RNA (855 nucleotides) under uncultured bacterium. RNAcentral describes it as "SSU rRNA". It matches the Rfam family "Bacterial small subunit ribosomal RNA", at positions 524 to 1381 of the family's 1533-position model. The record is from RNAcentral.